Molecule: ribosomal RNA, 755 nt
Filed under: uncultured bacterium
Lineage: Bacteria
Description: bacterial SSU rRNA
Rfam family: Bacterial small subunit ribosomal RNA
Source: RNAcentral
GACGAACGCUGGCGGCGUGCUUAAUACAUGCAAGUCGAGCGAGGUUACUGUUUUGGAUCCCUUCGGGGUGGAGAAGCUUUAACCUAGCGGCGGACGGGUGAGUAACGCGUGGGUAACCUACCCCAAAGUCCGGGAUAACAGCGGGAAACCGCUGCUAAUACCGGAUGCCUUUACCUUGGGGCAUCUUGAGGUAAAGAAAGGCAACGCUUUGGGAUGGGCCCGCGUCCCAUUAGCUAGUUGGUGAGGUAACGGCUCACCAAGGCGACGAUGGGUAGCCGGCCUGAGAGGGUGGACGGCCACACUGGGACUGAGACACGGCCCAGACUCCUACGGGAGGCAGCAGUAGGGAAUAUUGCGCAAUGGACGGAAGUCUGACGCAGCGACGCCGCGUGAGCGAUGAAGGUCUUCGGAUCGUAAAGCUCUGUCCUUGGGGAAGAAGGCGAAAGCUUGACGGUACCCAAGAAGAAAGCCCCGGCUAACUACGUGCCAGCAGCCGCGGUAAUACGUAGGGGGCGAGCGUUGUCCGGAAUUACUGGGCGUAAAGGGUGCGUAGGCGGCCCUUUAAGUCGGAUGUGAAAGCCCGCGGCUUAACCGCGGAAUGGCAUUCGAAACUGGAGGGCUUGAGUGUCGGAGAGGGUAGUGGAAUUCCCAGUGUAGCGGUGAAAUGCGUAGAUAUUGGGAGGAACACCAGUGGCGAAGGCGACUACCUGGACGAUAACUGACGCUGAGGCACGAAAGCUAGGGGAGCAAACAGG